CAGGUCCAUCGUGGGACGAGAUUCUUCUUCCUCCUGGGAACGCUGUACCUGUACCGCUGGGUCACCAUGUACGUGACCACGCUGCCUGUGCCCGGCAUGCACAUUCAGUGCGCCCCCAAGAACCUGAAGGUCUCCUCACACACGAACUUCCUGUCCCGAGCCUGGUGGUUUCCUGUCUUCCAUUUCUUUGAGAAGAACAUCCAGGGCUCAGUCCCUUAGCGCUUUCUCCUGGCCGCUGUCCUGGCCUCCCGGCUGCUUCAAGUCGUGCGUGCAAAAAGUACUCCCGGGUGCAGAAGUCGGGCGAGGACAGUGAGAAGUCCACCUGAGCCACGGCCGUGCUCCACGCUGCAGCCAAAGACAGCUCCGUCCUUAUGCUGGAGAACUGACUGGAGGCGGAGCAGCCGUCCACACUGCAGGCUCGGGGGAGAUGAGGGGCGUAUUGAUUACCUCGAGAGGUCUCUGUCCCUCCUGAGGCCUGCCUCACUGGUGAUGGGACCUCAGCGGGCUGUACGGUGAGCUUGUUAAAGAGGUGCCAAAGACCCCAGACUCCUCUUUCUUCCCUGUCACUGAGCCCCACCUCUGCACUCCUUCAGGGCGUCCUCCUCACCGGGGUCAGCGGGAUUUGUUCAUGUUUUGAAUAAAAGAUCCGGGUCUAUGCAGCCACCGGGCACAGGGAAUCCCCCUGAGGAGAGGGGUCCUGGCCGGGACUGGGAGCUGAGUCCAAGUGCACUUUCUUUCCAACCUGGCGGGGGAGGAAGGUCGCAGUGGGUCCCCGGUGCCCUCGCUGCCACUUUGACUCUUUUCUGUUUUUUAUUUCUUUCAAAUGAAUCAUUUUGAAGAAAAAGAUCCAAAAGAAAUCUGAAAGUAUUUAAUCUAUCCAUGGAUUUAAAUGUAAUGUUCAUAUUUCAAUUUAAAAUCUUUAGGAUGUCCGGGUGUGGGGGUGCAUGCCUGUAAUCUCAGCACUCAGGGGGCUGAGGCAGGAGGGUCACUGCAAGUUCGAGGCUAGCCUGAACGAUAUAGCGAGCCCCUGUCUCAAAAAACCAAAACAGAAGUAAAUGAAUCUGGUUCACCAGAAGUACGAGGCUGUUUCACACACACAGCUGGAUGCUGCUGCCCGGGGCAUUUGCCUCCGGCUGGCACAGGCGGCAGCACCUGGUGCUGAGCACUCACACCAGGGACGAGAGAGCUGGCUGACCUCGGGGUGGGAUGCCUGGCUAGACCUCGGAAGGACCCGUGUGGGCUGCUUCCCUGCACACUGUUCCUCGCUGGCCACCCUGGGUGCUGCAGGCCGAGUGGAGUCGCAGGUUGAAGGUGUCCUGGCCAGUGGCUUCCCGGGCAGCCGCUGCAUGGGCGCCUUUCCCGGGUGGGGAGGCCGAAAGUGGACAACUGUUCCCGAAUGUCUGUCCAGAGAUGCCAAACAGAAGGUGGCUUUGAGGAUCUGGUCAGAUAGUACUGUCAGUUUCCUGCAUUACUCAGUGCGAUUGAAAUUUGUGGCUAAUUUCUGGCUUAAUGCCUUCACUCUGUGAACACUAAUUUCUAGGACUUGGGAGGUGAAAUUUCCCUAGAUUUAUCAUUACAAGCCUCUCAGCCUUGAUGACACAAGUUGACUUUUUUUUGCUUGCAAAAGGCACUAAACAGAUCUAUCCAGAAGGGUCAUUUUCCUUUGGUGCUAAAAUUCUGUCUGUCCCAAUGGCUCUUUCUCCACAUAAUAGAAGAAUCCCUCAAGGGAGGGUGGUUGAAUUCAAAGGCAGGAAGAAAAACUCUCCAAUCCGUUAUUUUAAACGAGAAAGAAACCUUCACCAUCUGUGGCUGACUUUGAAACCCAAGGAUUUUCCAAUGUUUUUAAAUAAAGCACUAAUCAACAUGUGUCUACCCUAGCUGGUAUGUUCAGGCCUAAUUCUAUAGAAUUUCCACCCCUGUGCAUUUACCCGAUGUUGACUCUUGUGGUAGAACAAGAUGUUCUGCUUGAAAACACUAAUUUCAGAUUCCUGUUGUCUGACUAAGGAAAUUCAUUGGACCUUGAAGCCCUGCGUCUGUAGCUCAAAACAAUCCACUGGACUUCAGGGUGUCCAGGUGACCCACUUUCCUGCCAUCGGGUGAGGGAAAGUGCUUAAGCUUUAAAGACCAUUGUGUAUUGAGGAUCAGACUCCCUCCAAAUGGGCAGCCUUGCACUGCAGCCAGCUCAUCCAGGGACAGGUAUAACCGUCUGCUCCUAAAGGGCCCGGGAACCCCGAGACCCUCCUGUGGGGCACAGCGGUCUGUGCCCCUGGUCUUGUGUCCUGGCUCUCUCUCACAGAUGCUGACGAAGAGGGUGGCGGGAUAAUAAAAGAGGAAAAUGUCCAGGUUUCAAGCAGAAGAAGAAAUGAGACUCAUUUACAUGUAGGAGAACAAACUUGAGAUUUAACCCCACGAGCCACUUUGGCAUGGAAAAAACCAAUUACAAUGUUGCCUUUGAAGCAGUAAAUUUUCAUGAUGCCUUUUCCUUGCCAAUUAAAAUACAGCUGUUACACGUGACCUAUGUUUUUGUAAUCUGUGCUCCUAGCGAAUCCUUUGAAAUGUCUGACACAUAAUGCUUAUAAAUUAAGCCACAUUUUUUUCCUGAACUCUUCCCAGUAGAAAUAAGUGCUCUCAGAUUCAAUUAUAUUUUAGCUCCUUCAUGAGAUUUAAGAAGAAAGUGUUCUUCUGCCAGUCCCGCCUGAAUUCAAUGUGAAUUUAUGGUUUAAUUUAGGGCGUCUUGGGAAACAGCCGUUGCUAUGGAAGGGAGCUUGGCGCUCCGGUUCUUGGGCGUGUUCUCAGAGCCCCCUUGUGGCAGGAUGUCACGCAGCUUGGGACACAAAUGCCACUUCGUAAAAUACGUGUUCAGGUUUCAAAAAGGCAUUUGUGUUUCUUUCCCUUUGUGUAUUCGCUUGAUUUGCCUGUGAUCCUGGGGAAGGAAUUAUUUUAAAGACAUUUUAAACCCUUCUCAAAGGGGAAAUGUUCUCGGAUGGUAGUGACUUGUGAUUCUGGCCUUUUAUCCGUUCGAUGAAGGAAAACGUGCCUACCGUGGUUACCUCUCAGGGUCUCAAUAAUUGAUGCCUCCUUAUGCCCACCGACACCUGUUUGCUGGGAAUCCCUGCCAGCUGUCUUUCUUACUUUUUUUUUUUUUAAUUUACAUGCUAGACGUCAUAGACUUUGUUUUUAAACCGAAAAUUCACAUCUUGUUCCUUGAAUAUGUUGAACAUUUCUUUUUUCUUUUGGCAUAAUUUUUGUUUUGUACUGUAAACUGAUUAAAGAUUUGAAGCUGGUCUUAACACCCUCACUUCUAUAGUGUAAAAGAGGUGUGAGGAGGAAUUUCUUAAUGAGUUUACAUGUUUAAAUCAAGCAGAUUAUAAUUUAUAUGCCACAUAUUCUGUUUGUAUAAAGAGCUGCUGGUAUUUUUGCUUUUAAUGUCAUUAUGUUGCAAUAAUUUAACUCCUUUGACUCCACUGGUAAAAAUAUUUCCUUUAUUAUGAAGUGCUCUUGUCUUCAAUAUCCAGACACUGAAAAUCGUGUCAAAUGUACCCAAAGAGGAGUUUUUAUACAGGUAGACACCUUAUAAGUCCAGGUUUGUUUUAUUAUUCAUUAAUCUAACUUUGUGUCCUAAGUGAAUCAUUAAGGAGAAGAGCACUUUACUAUGGAAUUAUUUUUAAUUGCCCUUUAGAAGAAGCUGUACACAUAAGCCAGUCUUGCUUCCAAGUUGGAACUCACUAUGUAAUUUACCUCCUCUGCGAUAAUGGAUCCAGAACAUACGGCUGGGGUACAGCAUAUUCACAAAAGAAAUAUUGUCACAAAGUUAGCGGGCCGGGGGCAAUUACUUUGUUUUGGAAACUUACUGUACUGUUUCAAUGUGUUAAGUGCCUUGUUAUGAAGUAAAAUUUUAAGUUUAGGAUUCAUUAUUUUCCUGACAUAUAUUUUCAUUAAGAUAUGUGCUGUAUGUUAUUGUAAUAGUUUUAUUAAAUGCUUACCUUUUAACCAAAUAUGUACAUUUCCGAAACUCCUUUCCUCCUGCCCACAGCACCUUGCAUUCAGGUUAUUGUUGUUAAAGGAAAUUACCCUUGUUUAGCACUAUAGUGUCCUUGCUUGUGCUUUUGCUUCUGGGAAGACAUUUCAGGAGGAAACUAGGGGUCUAACUAGUUUAUACUUUUGCAGUGCUGUCUUACAUUUACAUUUUAAGUGCCUAAAUGUUAAAACUAAUUUACAUUUCUAUUUGAAAGAGGAUAUGUGUACUUGGUUUUUAAUCUUUUUCGUUUUGCUUUUAAAAAAAACCAAACCUGCAAGAGCCUAUACUUUGUAUUUACCAAUAAACCACAGUGACACUAAC
This is a long non-coding RNA of Heterocephalus glaber (naked mole-rat), 4339 nucleotides long. NCBI's taxonomy places the organism in Eukaryota, Metazoa, Chordata, Mammalia, Rodentia, Bathyergidae. The record is from Ensembl.